UACAGAGGGGGCAAGCGUUGUCCGGAAUUACUGGGCGUACAGGGUGCGCAGGCGGCUUGGUAUGUGCCGAGUGACAAAUCCGCGCUUAACGCGGAAGGGUCUCGGUAGACAGCCAGGCUCGAGUCCUUGAGAGGGUAGUGGAAUUCCCGGUGUAGUGGUGAAAUGCGUAGAUAUCGGGAGGAACACCAGUGGCGAAGGCGACUACCUGGCCUGUUUCUUGACGCUGAGGCGCGAAAGCUAGGGGAGCAAACGGG
Molecule: ribosomal RNA, 254 nt
Filed under: uncultured bacterium
Lineage: Bacteria
Description: partial 16S ribosomal RNA
Rfam family: Bacterial small subunit ribosomal RNA
Source: RNAcentral